Molecule: ribosomal RNA, 1424 nt
Filed under: uncultured organism
Description: SSU rRNA
Rfam family: Bacterial small subunit ribosomal RNA
Source: RNAcentral
GGCUUAACACAUGCAAGUCGAGGGGCAGCAUGCUUUUAGCUUGCUAAGGCCGAUGGCGACCGGCGCACGGGUGAGUAACACGUAUCCAACCUGCCGUCUACUCUUGGACAGCCUUCUGAAAGGAAGAUUAAUACAAGAUGGCAUCAUGAGUCCGCAUGUUCACAUGAUUAAAGGUAUUCCGGUAGACGAUGGGGAUGCGUUCCAUUAGAUAGUAGGCGGGGUAACGGCCCACCUAGUCUUCGAUGGAUAGGGGUUCUGAGAGGAAGGUCCCCCACAUUGGAACUGAGACACGGUCCAAACUCCUACGGGAGGCAGCAGUGAGGAAUAUUGGUCAAUGGGCGAGAGCCUGAACCAGCCAAGUAGCGUGAAGGAUGACUGCCUUAUGGGUUGUAAACUUCUUUUAUAAAGGAAUAAAGUCGGGUAUGGAUACCCGUUUGCAUGUACUUUAUGAAUAAGGAUCGGCUAACUCCGUGCCAGCAGCCGCGGUAAUACGGAGGAUUCGAGCGUUAUCCGGAUUUAUUGGGUUUAAAGGGAGCGUAGAUGGAUGUUUAAGUCAGUUGUGAAAGUUUGCGGCUCAACCGUAAAAUUGCAGUUGAUACUGGAUAUCUUGAGUGCAGUUGAGGCAGGCGGAAUUCGUGGUGUAGCGGUGAAAUGCUUAGAUAUCACGAAGAACUCCGAUUGCGAAGGCAGCCUGCUAAGCUGCAACUGACAUUGAGGCUCGAAAGUGUGGGUAUCAAACAGGAUUAGAUACCCUGGUAGUCCACACGGUAAACGAUGAAUACUCGCUGUUUGCGAUAUACGGCAAGCGGCCAAGCGAAAGCGUUAAGUAUUCCACCUGGGGAGUACGCCGGCAACGGUGAAACUCAAAGGAAUUGACGGGGGCCCGCACAGGCGGAGGAACAUGUGGUUUAAUUCGAUGAUACGCGAGGAACCUUACCCGGGCUUAAAUUGCAGAUGAAUUACGGUGAAAGCCGUAAGCCGCAAGGCAUCUGUGAAGGUGCUGCAUGGUUGUCGUCAGCUCGUGCCGUGAGGUGUCGGCUUAAGUGCCAUAACGAGCGCAACCCUUGUUGUCAGUUACUAACAGGUUCUGCUGAGGACUCUGACAAGACUGCCAUCGUAAGAUGUGAGGAAGGUGGGGAUGACGUCAAAUCAGCACGGCCCUUACGUCCGGGGCUACACACGUGUUACAAUGGGGGGUACAGAGGGCCGCUACCACGCGAGUGGAUGCCAAUCCCAAAAACCUCUCUCAGUUCGGACUGGAGUCUGCAACCCGACUCCACGAAGCUGGAUUCGCUAGUAAUCGCGCAUCAGCCACGGCGCGGUGAAUACGUUCCCGGGCCUUGUACACACCGCCCGUCAAGCCAUGGGAGCCGGGGGUACCUGAAGUGCGUAAACGGGAGGAGCGCCCUAGGGUAAAACUGGUG